UUCGUAGACGGUAUUGUAAGUUAAUUGUUAAAUACUAAAGCUUAACUUUAGAAAAAAGCAUUUAAAACUAUUAUACUAGAGUUUUAAACAGAAGAGUAGAAUUUUAUGAGUAAGGAUAAAAUCUGAAAAUACAUAAAGGAAUAUCAGUAGUGAAAGCGACUCUUUAGUAAAAACUGACGUUGAGGGACGAAAGUGUAGGGAGCAAACA
This 208-nucleotide ribosomal RNA is filed under the name uncultured bacterium. RNAcentral's name for it is "partial 16S ribosomal RNA". It matches the Rfam family "Bacterial small subunit ribosomal RNA", at positions 568 to 774 of the family's 1533-position model. The record is from RNAcentral.